GGAUCUGCCUACAGGACUGGGACAACAGCUGGAAACGGCUGCUAAAACCGGAUGUGCCGAGAGGUGAAAUAUUUAUAGCCUGUAGAUGAGCUCGCGUCUGAUUAGCUAGUUGGUGAGGUAAGGGCUCACCAAGGCGACGAUCAGUAGCUGGUCUGAGAGGACGAUCAGCCACACUGGGACUGAGACACGGCCCAGACUCCUACGGGAGGCAGCAGUGGGGAAUUUUCCGCAAUGGGCGAAAGCCUGACGGAGCAAUACCGCGUGAGGGAGGAAGGUCUGUGGAUUGUAAACCUCUUUUGAUAGGGAAGAAGUUCUGACGGUACCUAUCGAAUCAGCAUCGGCUAACUCCGUGCCAGCAGCCGCGGUAAUACGGAGGAUGCAAGCGUUAUCCGGAUUUAUUGGGCGUAAAGCGUCCGUAGGUGGUUAUUCAAGUCUAUUGUCAAAGCCUGGGGCUUAACCCUGGAGAGGCGGUGGAAACUGAAUAACUAGAGUGCGGUAGGGGCAGAGGGAAUUCCCAGUGUAGCGGUGAAAUGCGUAGAUAUUGGGAAGAACACCGGUGGCGAAAGCGCUCUGCUGGGCCUGCACUGACACUGAGGGACGAAAGCUAGGGGAGCG
Molecule: ribosomal RNA, 615 nt
Filed under: uncultured cyanobacterium
Lineage: Bacteria; Bacillati; Cyanobacteriota
Description: bacterial SSU rRNA
Rfam family: Bacterial small subunit ribosomal RNA
Source: RNAcentral